RNAcentral lists this ribosomal RNA (1241 nucleotides) under metagenome. Its description in RNAcentral is "bacterial LSU rRNA". It matches the Rfam family "Bacterial large subunit ribosomal RNA", at positions 1564 to 2814 of the family's 2925-position model. The record is from RNAcentral.
UGAAUACGAGACGCUAAGGCGUCGAAGUAGUGUAUGUCAUACUUCCAAGAAAAGCUUGCACUGUCAUAGAUAAAAAACGCCUGUACCAUAACCGACACAGGUGGGUAGGUAGAGUAUACUAAGGGGCGCGAGAUAACUCUCUCUAAGGAACUCGGCAAAAUAACUCCGUAACUUCGGGAGAAGGAGUGCCUUAUUAUUAAGGCUGCAAUAACAAGAUCCAAGCAACUGUUUAUCAAAAACACAGGUCUCCGCUAAGUCGUAAGACGAUGUAUGGGGGCUGACGCCUGCCCAGUGCCAGAAGGUUAAAGAAGUUGGUUAGCAUUUGCGAAGCUGAUAACUGAAGCCCUGGUGAACGGCGGCCGUAACGAUAACGGUCCUAAGGUAGCGAAAUUCCUUGUCGGGUAAGUUCCGACCCGCACGAAAGGCGUAAUGAUUUGGAUACUGUCUCGGAGAGGGGCUCGGUGAAAUAGACUUGUCUGUGAAGAUGCGGACUACCUGCACCAGGACAGAAAGACCCUAUGAAGCUUUACUGUAACUUGAAAUUGAAAUUGGACUUUAUUCGCGCAGCAUAGGUGGGAGGCGUUGAUUAUAAUCUUGUGGGAUUAUUGGAGCCAUCAGUGAGAUACCACUCUUGUAAUGUUAGAUUUCUAACUUUGAAUCAUUAUCUGGUCAAAGAACAGUUUCAGGCGGGCAGUUUGACUGGGGCGGUCGCCUCCUAAACGGUAACGGAGGCGUACAAAGGUUUCCUCUGAACGGUUAGAAAUCGUAUCUAGAGUGUAAAGGCAUAAGGAAGCUUGACUGUGAGACCUACAAGUCGAGCAGGGACGAAAGUCGGUCUUAGUGAUCUGACGGUACUGAGUGGAAAGGCCGUCACUCAACGGAUAAAAGUUACUCUAAGGAUAACAGGCCGAUCUCCCCCAAGAGUUCACAUCGACGGGGAGGUUUGGCACCUCGAUGUCGGCUCAUCGCAUCCUGGGGCGGUAGUACGUCCCAAGGGUUGGGCUGUUCGCCCAUGAAAGCGGUACGCGAGCUGGGUUCAGAACGUCGUGAGACAGUUCGGUCCAUAUCCGGUGUAGGCGUUAGAAUAUUGAGAGGAGCCUUCUUUAGUACGAGAGGACCGAGAAGGACAUACCUCUGGUGUACCAGUUAUCGUGCCAACGGUAAACGCUGGGUAGCUAUGUAUGGAGUGGAUAACCGCUGAAAGCAUCUAAGUGGGAAGCCCACCUCAAGAUAAGUAUUCU